UACAGAGGCCCCAAGCGUUACUGAGAAUCACUGGGUUUAAAGGGUGCGUAGGUGGUCUGUUAAGUCCGUUGUGAAAGCCCUGGGCUCAACCCAGGAACUGCUUCGGAUACUGGCAGACUUGAGGCUAGUAGAGGUCACUGGAACUGACGGUGGAGCGGUGAAAUGCGUAGAUAUCGUCAGGAACGCCAAUGGUGAAGACAGGUGACUGGGCUAGAUCUGACACUGAGGCACGAAAGCGUGGGGAGCAAACAGG
Molecule: ribosomal RNA, 253 nt
Filed under: uncultured bacterium
Lineage: Bacteria
Description: partial 16S ribosomal RNA
Rfam family: Bacterial small subunit ribosomal RNA
Source: RNAcentral